RNAcentral lists this transfer RNA (63 nucleotides) under Aphanomyces astaci. It matches the Rfam family "tRNA". From Rfam's summary of the family: Transfer RNA (tRNA) molecules are approximately 80 nucleotides in length. Lineage: Eukaryota; Oomycota; Saprolegniomycetes; Saprolegniales; Verrucalvaceae. The record is from Rfam by way of RNAcentral.
GACGUUGUGGCGUAAUGGAAUCGCGCCUGCUUACAGGAGACUUGGGUUCGAUUCCCAGCGUCU